RNAcentral lists this long non-coding RNA (788 nucleotides) under Elaeis guineensis (African oil palm). RNAcentral describes it as "long non-coding RNA (EGUI_LNC069555)". Lineage: Eukaryota; Viridiplantae; Streptophyta; Magnoliopsida; Arecales; Arecaceae. The record is from RNAcentral.
GUCCCUUCUCUUAAUAAAUGAACUUCAAUUAACUCUAUUGUGUGUGCCCUAGCCCUCUAGGAUUAGCAAAUUCGAUUGCUUUUUGAGUGUUUUGUCUUUGUCAUCAUUCAUUCAAAAAAUAUAUUUUUUAGAACUACAAUAAAUCAACCUUAGUGCAACUAGCUUGCAACUUCUUCACAUGGAAGAGCUGAGUCUGGAGUUCCAAAACCAGUGUUGGCGUCCCCACAUAUUUCUCUAAAAGGAAAUGACGACUAUCACCAUUAGAGUUUGAACCUAGAAUCUCUCUCUAGUGUGCACCAAUUGAAGAAGUGCCAACCAAUAGAUCUAAGGCUCACUUAAUUCUUUUUAGAGAAAAAUUUUUUUUAUGUACCAUACGUGGUGCGCUUGUUUAUACACCAUGCAUAGUGAUUGGCUUAUGCAUGGGACAGGCAAAAUAUAUUUUUUUUCAUACCUCUAUCUGCUCUCGUGCAUGAGCCAAUCACCGCAUAUAAUACGCAUGUUCUAUAUCAUGCACGGUGCACAAAAAAUUUCUCAUAGGGAAAAGGGCUUGUUUAAUUUGAGAAUAUACCUUCAAUGGACUUUGGAUCAUCAACGCUUUUUAAGUUUAAAUGCAUUAUUGCUCAGUCACCACCUAAACAAUAAAAUCAUUAGAAUUAAGUACGUCAUUCCUUGAUAUAUCUUUUUAAUUAAUCCUGGUCAUCUUUAGCGGCUACUGGUAGUGGUCAAUCCUGAAUUUCUGAUUUCUUUUACCGAACUGAACAUUUCCUUGGCAAAAGGAUCACGGUGGC